Ochotona curzoniae (black-lipped pika) is the source of this 180-nucleotide long non-coding RNA. RefSeq lists it as uncharacterized. The transcript is spliced from 3 exons. The record is from RefSeq and is a predicted model, not a curated record. Lineage: Eukaryota; Metazoa; Chordata; Mammalia; Lagomorpha; Ochotonidae.
UUUGGAAAUGAAAUUGGGACACAUCCACAGGAAGUCCCAAUAAGGACUGAAGUAUAUCAAGGAAAUGACAUGACGACUUGCAGCUGGAGAAUCAAAGUCCUUGAACAAGAAUUGGAAAGAACAAUCGAUUACUUUCAAAUACAGAUUAUUUAUUUGAAGAAAAAUGCAAAUGAUACUUGG